UGGGGAAUAUUGGACAAUGGGGGCAACCCUGAUCCAGCAAUGCCGCGUGUGUGAAGAAGGCCUGCGGGUUGUAAAGCACUUUAGGUUGGGAAGAAAAAGCACAUGCUAAUACCAUGUGAAAUUGACGUUACCAACGGAAUAAGCACCGGCUAACUCUGUGCCAGCAGCCGCGGUAAUACA
RNAcentral lists this ribosomal RNA (180 nucleotides) under uncultured soil bacterium. RNAcentral's name for it is "partial 16S ribosomal RNA". It matches the Rfam family "Bacterial small subunit ribosomal RNA", at positions 355 to 527 of the family's 1533-position model. The record is from RNAcentral.